This 910-nucleotide ribosomal RNA is filed under the name Escherichia coli. RNAcentral describes it as "partial 23S ribosomal RNA". It matches the Rfam family "Bacterial large subunit ribosomal RNA", at positions 418 to 1328 of the family's 2925-position model. The record is from RNAcentral. Lineage: Bacteria; Pseudomonadati; Pseudomonadota; Gammaproteobacteria; Enterobacterales; Enterobacteriaceae.
CGGGACACGUGGUAUCCUGUCUGAAUAUGGGGGGACCAUCCUCCAAGGCUAAAUACUCCUGACUGACCGAUAGUGAACCAGUACCGUGAGGGAAAGGCGAAAAGAACCCCGGCGAGGGGAGUGAAAAAGAACCUGAAACCGUGUACGUACAAGCAGUGGGAGCCUCUUUAUGGGGUGACUGCGUACCUUUUGUAUAAUGGGUCAGCGACUUAUAUUCUGUAGCAAGGUUAACCGAAUAGGGGAGCCGAAGGGAAACCGAGUCUUAACUGGGCGUUAAGUUGCAGGGUAUAGACCCGAAACCCGGUGAUCUAGCCAUGGGCAGGUUGAAGGUUGGGUAACACUAACUGGAGGACCGAACCGACUAAUGUUGAAAAAUUAGCGGAUGACUUGUGGCUGGGGGUGAAAGGCCAAUCAAACCGGGAGAUAGCUGGUUCUCCCCGAAAGCUAUUUAGGUAGCGCCUCGUGAAUUCAUCUCCGGGGGUAGAGCACUGUUUCGGCAAGGGGGUCAUCCCGACUUACCAACCCGAUGCAAACUGCGAAUACCGGAGAAUGUUAUCACGGGAGACACACGGCGGGUGCUAACGUCCGUCGUGAAGAGGGAAACAACCCAGACCGCCAGCUAAGGUCCCAAAGUCAUGGUUAAGUGGGAAACGAUGUGGGAAGGCCCAGACAGCCAGGAUGUUGGCUUAGAAGCAGCCAUCAUUUAAAGAAAGCGUAAUAGCUCACUGGUCGAGUCGGCCUGCGCGGAAGAUGUAACGGGGCUAAACCAUGCACCGAAGCUGCGGCAGCGACGCUUAUGCGUUGUUGGGUAGGGGAGCGUUCUGUAAGCCUGCGAAGGUGUGCUGUGAGGCAUGCUGGAGGUAUCAGAAGUGCGAAUGCUGACAUAAGUAACGAUAAAGCGGGUGAAAAG